RNAcentral lists this ribosomal RNA (497 nucleotides) under uncultured bacterium. RNAcentral's name for it is "partial 16S ribosomal RNA". It matches the Rfam family "Bacterial small subunit ribosomal RNA", at positions 28 to 507 of the family's 1533-position model. The record is from RNAcentral.
GAUGAACGCUGGCGGCGUGCCUAAUACAUGCGAGUCGAGCGAACGGACGAGAAGCUUGCUUUUCUGAUGUUAGCGGCGGACGGGUGAGUAACACGUGGAUAACCUACCUAUAAGACUGGGAUAACUUCGGGAAACCGGAGCUAAUACCGGAUAAUAUUUUGAACCGCAUGGUUCAAAAGUGAAAGACGGUCUUGCUGUCACUUAUAGAUGGAUCCGCGCUGCAUUAGCUAGUUGGUAAGGUAACGGCUUACCAAGGCAACGAUGCAUAGCCGACCUGAGAGGGUGAUCGGCCACCCUGGAACUGAGACACGGUCCAGACUCCUACGGGAGGCAGCAGUAGGGAAUCUUCCGCAAUGGGCGAAAGCCUGACGGAGCAACGCCGCGUGAGUGAUGAAGGUCUUCGGAUCGUAAAACUCUGUUAUUAGGGAAGAACAUAUGUGUAAGUAACUGUGCACAUCUUGACGGUACCUAAUCAGAAAGCCACGGCUAACUACGUG